This 483-nucleotide ribosomal RNA is filed under the name uncultured bacterium. Its description in RNAcentral is "partial 16S ribosomal RNA". It matches the Rfam family "Bacterial small subunit ribosomal RNA", at positions 30 to 506 of the family's 1533-position model. The record is from RNAcentral.
AUUGAACGCUGGCGGCAGGCCUAACACAUGCGAGUCGAGCGCAUGAAGGGAGCUUGCUCCUGGAUUCAGCGGCGGACGGGUGAGUAAUGCCUAGGAAUCUGCCUGGUAGUGGGGGAUAACGUCCGGAAACGGGCGCUAAUACCGCAUACGUCCUGAGGGAGAAAGUGGGGGAUCUUCGGACCUCACGCUAUCAGAUGAGCCUAGGUCGGAUUAGCUAGUUGGUGGGGUAAAGGCCUACCAAGGCGACGAUCCGUAACUGGUCUGAGAGGAUGAUCAGUCACACUGGAACUGAGACACGGUCCAGACUCCUACGGGAGGCAGCAGUGGGGAAUAUUGGACAAUGGGCGAAAGCCUGAUCCAGCCAUGCCGCGUGUGUGAAGAAGGUCUUCGGGUUGUAAAGCACUUUAAGUUGGGAGGAAGGGCAGUAAGUUAAUACCUUGCUGUUUUGACGUUACCAACAGAAUAAGCACCGGCUAACUUCGU